GAGGGUUUAGCUCAAUUGGUAGAGCACAUGCUUAGCAUGCACGAAGCCUUGGGUUCAAUCCCCAGCACCUCCA
Molecule: transfer RNA, 73 nt
Organism: Camelus ferus (Wild Bactrian camel)
Lineage: Eukaryota; Metazoa; Chordata; Mammalia; Artiodactyla; Camelidae
Rfam family: tRNA
About the family: Transfer RNA (tRNA) molecules are approximately 80 nucleotides in length. Their secondary structure includes four short double-helical elements and three loops (D, anti-codon, and T loops). Further hydrogen bonds mediate the characteristic L-shaped molecular structure. tRNAs have two regions of fundamental functional importance: the anti-codon, which is responsible for specific mRNA codon recognition, and the 3' end, to which the tRNAs corresponding amino acid is attached (by aminoacyl-tRNA synthetases). tRNAs cope with the degeneracy of the genetic code in two manners: having more than one tRNA (with a specific anti-codon) for a particular amino acid; and 'wobble' base-pairing, i.e. permitting non-standard base-pairing at the 3rd anti-codon position.
Source: Rfam